GGUCACACCCGUUCCCAUACCGAACACGGAAGUUAAGCUCUCUAGCGCCGAUGGUAGUUGGGACCUUGUCCCUGUGAGAGUAGGACGUCGC
Molecule: ribosomal RNA, 91 nt
Filed under: Bacillus cereus
Lineage: Bacteria; Bacillati; Bacillota; Bacilli; Caryophanales; Bacillaceae
Also listed under: 1 other name
Source: RNAcentral